RNAcentral lists this ribosomal RNA (443 nucleotides) under uncultured Porphyromonadaceae bacterium. Its description in RNAcentral is "bacterial SSU rRNA". It matches the Rfam family "Bacterial small subunit ribosomal RNA", at positions 355 to 794 of the family's 1533-position model. The record is from RNAcentral. Lineage: Bacteria; Pseudomonadati; Bacteroidota; Bacteroidia; Bacteroidales; Porphyromonadaceae.
UGAGGAGUAUUGGUCAAUGGGCGAGAGCCUGAACCAGCCAAGUAGCGUGAGGGAAGACUGCCCUAUGGGUUGUAAACCUCUUUUGAUUGGGAACAAAGAGCGCCACGUGUGGUGCGUUGCGUGUACCUUUCGAAUAAGCAUCGGCUAAUUCCGUGCCAGCAGCCGCGGUAAUACGGAAGAUGCGAGCGUUAUCCGGAUUUAUUGGGUUUAAAGGGAGCGUAGGCGGACUCGUCAAGUCAGCGGUAAAAAAUUCGGGGCUCAACCCCGUCCUGCCGUUGAAACUGCGAGACUGGAGUGCGACAGAGGAAGGCGGAAUGCGAGGUGUAGCGGUGAAAUGCAUAGAUAUCGCGCAGAACUCCGAUUGCGAAGGCAGCUUUCCAUGUCGUAACUGACGCUGAGGCACGAAAGCGUGGGGAUCGAACAGGAUUAGAUACCCUGGUAGU